AAGACCUUGCGCUUUUGGAGCGGCCGAMGCCUGAUUAGCUUGUUGGUAAGGUAAAAGCUUACCAAGGCUUCGAUCAGUAGCUGGUCUGAGAGGACGGCCAGCCACACUGGGACUGAGACACGGCCCAGACUCCUACGGGAGGCAGCAGUGGGGAAUUUUGGACAAUGGGGGCAACCCUGAUCCAGCCAUGCCGCGUGAGUGAAGAAGGCCUUCGGGUUGUAAAGCUCUUUCAGCCGGAACGAAACGGUUACGGUUAAUACCCGUGAUUACUGACGGUACCGGAAGAAGAAGCACCGGCUAACUACGUGCCAGCAGCCGCGGUAAUACGUAGGGUGCGAGCGUUAAUCGGAAUUACUGGGCGUAAAGGGUGCGCAGGCGGUUUUGUAAGUCAGAUGUGAAKUCCCCGGGCUUAACCUGGGAACU
Molecule: ribosomal RNA, 423 nt
Filed under: uncultured bacterium
Lineage: Bacteria
Description: bacterial SSU rRNA
Rfam family: Bacterial small subunit ribosomal RNA
Source: RNAcentral